GCAGAGAGGGCUGGACUUGUCCUCGUCCACCUCUGCGGCAGACACAGCCAUCUAGGUAGUGAAGGCUUUACCUCCGUGUGUUCUGCUGAAAGGGAAGGUCAUUCAAGAGGCCUCGAACAGAAGGAAGAUUAGUGACUUUUAAAAAGAAACUCUGGGCCUUCAACUGAGACUACCCUUCCUUCCCCAUCCUCAGCCAACCACGGAUCUGCUCCCUGUCGUUGUACAUUGAACUCUUCAUGUGAUAUGCCACUGUUUGUUACCUCUGGUUUCUUUCGUUUGAUGCUUUCAAGUUUCAUCUAUGUAGCAGGAUCAGCAGAGUCCAGAAGAGAGAAGACAAUCCCAGAAUACGAGCUCAACACCUGGAAACCACAAGUUUGUCAAGAGACCCUCAGAAUCAGACAUUCAUACCAGGAGCCCUAUGGAACCUGCUUUGACCCACAAAACUGCUUUGACCCAUCAUAAUUUGGGAAGAUAUAAUGAUCUCUCAAAGAGCACUUUAACUCCAGAGGGAGAGAACCAGGCCCCAUUGAAUGAGAUCCCCGCCCAGAAACCAGCACCAUGUGUGGACCACUGCCAGCAUGGGGAGAGCCAGAUCCAAGCCUCUCUCUGUGAGUCAGUGUCAUUUUAAAGACUGUAGAGGGAGAGAACCAGGCCCCAUGGGGGGAGAUCUCUGCCAGGAAACCAUAUCAUUUUCAUUGUUUUGUUGGGUUGUGUUUUUGUUUAUUUUAACUCUGAUGGCAUGAGCAGCUGUUUAAAAAAUAGCAAGACAUGUUAUGGAAGCCAUUAUAUAUUUACUACUGGCUUGUUUUGAUGUCCUCUAUUGCAUUCAUUGUUUUGUUUUUAUUGUUUCUAUUGUAUUCUGUUGUGUUUGAUUUUUAAUAUGCCCAAAGGUAGUAUCCGCAGCUAUUUUGAAGACAACAAAGGCACUAUGGUAACUGUUGCUGAUUUCAUAAGGUUUGGAAGUCCUGUAUCACUUAUUCUGGUUUAUUUUGAUUGAUUUUAUUCUGUUUUACUUUCCUCAUUUUUAUCUUCCUUAAAAUAAAAAAUUAAUUAAUUAAUUAAAAAUAGCUAGAUCUCAUGUGGGAUCGUUGUGCAACUGGAGGUGUGGUCACAGGGCUGAAGUCUUAAAAACUCAAAAGCUUCUGUUCAGGCUUAGUUUAUAUGGAGAUAUUCAAAAUGCCUUGUACCAAAUAG
Cavia porcellus (domestic guinea pig) is the source of this 1194-nucleotide long non-coding RNA. RefSeq lists it as uncharacterized. NCBI's taxonomy places the organism in Eukaryota, Metazoa, Chordata, Mammalia, Rodentia, Caviidae. The record is from RefSeq and is a predicted model, not a curated record. The transcript is spliced from 4 exons.